GACGAACCGUGCAAACGUUAUUCGGAAUCACUGGGCUUAAAGGGCGCGUAGGCGGAUUGCCAAGUCGGUGGUGAAAUCGUUCGGCCCAACCGGACAAGUGCCGCCGAUACUGGCAGUCUCGAGGGAGGUAGGGGUCGAGGGAACUGGUGGUGGAGCGGUGAAAUGCGUAGAUAUCACUAGGAACGCCGGUGGCGAAAGCGGUUUCCUGGCCGAGUACUGACGCUGAGGCACGAAAGCGUGGGGAGCGAACGGG
Molecule: ribosomal RNA, 253 nt
Filed under: uncultured bacterium
Lineage: Bacteria
Description: partial 16S ribosomal RNA
Rfam family: Bacterial small subunit ribosomal RNA
Source: RNAcentral